AACGAACGCUGGCGGCAUGCCUAACACAUGCAAGUCGAACGAGACCUUCGGGUCUAGUGGCGCACGGGUGCGUAACGCGUGGGAACCUGCCCUUAGGUUCGGAAUAACUCCCCGAAAGGGGUGCUAAUACCGGAUAAUGUCUUCGGACCAAAGAUUUAUCGCCUUUGGAUGGGCCCGCGUUGGAUUAGCUAGUUGGUAGGGUAAAAGCCUACCAAGGCGACGAUCCAUAGCUGGUCUGAGAGGAUGAUCAGCCACACUGGGACUGAGACCCGGCCCCGACUCCUACGGGAGGCAGCAGUGGGGAAUAUUGUACAAUGGGCGAAAUCCUGAUCCAGCAAUGCCGCGUGAGUGAUGAAGGCCUUAGGGUUGUAAAGCUCUUUUACCCGGGAUGAUAAUGACAGUACCGGUAGAAUAAGCUCCGGCUAACUCCAUG
Molecule: ribosomal RNA, 433 nt
Filed under: uncultured bacterium
Lineage: Bacteria
Description: partial 16S ribosomal RNA
Rfam family: Bacterial small subunit ribosomal RNA
Source: RNAcentral